AGCAGCCGCGGUAAUUCCAGCUCCAAUAGCGUAUAUUAAAGUUGUUGCAGUUAAAAAGCUCGUAGUUGAAUUUCGGGAUCAAUACGUCGGUCGUGCUUUCGGGUACGUACUGGCGUCAUUGGUUUCUCCUUUCUGGCGAACCAUGAUGUCAUUAAUUUGGUGUUAUGGGGAGUUAGGACUGUUACUUUGAAAAAAUUAGAGUGUUUAAAGCAGGCUAACGCUUGAAUACAUUAGCAUAGAAUAAUGAAGUAGGACGUUAAUCCUAUUUUGUUGGUUUCUAGGAUUGACAUAAUGAUUAAUAGGGAUAGUUGGGCAUUAGUAUUCAAUUGUCAGAUGUGAAAUUCUUGGAUUUAUUGAAGACUAACUACUGCGAAAGCAUUUACCAAGGAUGUUUCAUUAAUCAAGAACG
Molecule: ribosomal RNA, 409 nt
Filed under: uncultured Glomeromycotina
Lineage: Eukaryota; Fungi; Glomeromycota
Description: SSU rRNA
Rfam family: Eukaryotic small subunit ribosomal RNA
Source: RNAcentral